Long non-coding RNA from Panthera uncia (snow leopard), 1689 nucleotides. RefSeq lists it as uncharacterized. The transcript is spliced from 3 exons. The record is from RefSeq and is a predicted model, not a curated record. Lineage: Eukaryota; Metazoa; Chordata; Mammalia; Carnivora; Felidae.
UCAAGAUUAAAUAUACAGGCAUGAUGACUGUGCUUAAUAAUACUGUACUGAACACUGGAAACAUGCUAAGAGUAUAUUUCGAGUGCGCUCACAAAAAAGUGUUAACUCUGUAAGGAGAGGAUACAUUAAUUAGCUUGACUACAGUAAUCAUUUCACUUUAUAUGUACAGCUGGCCCUUGAGCAACAUGGGUUUGAACUGUGCAGAUCCACUUAUAUGCAGAUUUUUUAAAAACAGUACAGUAUUGUAAAUGGGUUUUCUCUAAUGAUUCCAAAUAACACUUUUUCUUUAGCUUACUUUAUUAUAAGAAUACAGUAUGUGAUACAUGUAACAUAAAAUAUAUGUGCUAAUAGACUGUUUAUCAGUAAGGUUUCUUCUGAUCAAUAGCAGGCUAUCAGUAGCUAAGUUUUGGGGGAGUCAAAAGUUAUACUUGGAUUUUUGAUUGUGCAGGGAAUUGACCCUCCAACUCCUGGGUUGUUCAAAGGUCAACUGUAUAUCAAAUCAUGUUGUACAACUUAAAUAUAUAUAAUCUUUAUUAAAAAUAUAUAAACAUGGAAAAAAGCUGUACACUGUACAAGCUUAAAUGGGUGAAUUGUAUGAUAGGGAUGAAUUGUAUAUCUCAGUAAAACUAUUACAAAAAAAAAAAAAGAAAGAAAAAAAAGUGGGGAGCAAGAAGGGCAGAAAAGAUGAAAUUUUAGACAUCAAGUAAAUCAACCACUGUAUUUUAAAAUUGGAAUCACUUUAAAAUGUUACUAAAAACAUCAUUUCAACAAACAACGAAUAUAGCAAUAAAAACUACCAUUUAGCUAGCCUGUACUAUUUACCAUAAACUUUGCACACUGAAUCUCAAACUCCCCUGGCAUUCAGAUAUUGUCCAUUUCCAUUGUGCAGUUAAACAAGAGUCAAGUCAUAACUUGCUUGUGGUCAUACAGAAAACCAAUGGAACCAGAACACGUACCCAAGCUUACCUGAAGUCUAAGCUAUGCUCUUUCCCCUACAUUAUGACAUCGUGAUAAAGAGACAGAAUCACAUUUUCUCUACCAGGCACAUGCCCAACGGCAAUUACCACAUGAGCAAUUUGGGUAUACAGUAGGAAAAAGCACUCACCCAAUGUCGUGGCACCUGUAUUGCAUGAGGUUUUCACUCAUUCUUUAAACAGAGAUUCCCUGAAAGUCUACAAUCCGCAAAGUAAAGAGAUGGCUGUUGACAUUUUUUCAGCAGGUUCACAAUGUGGUGAAGAAUUCCAUCACUAACAGCUUGAAGGACCUCAACUUCCAGGCUGGAAGUGAUACACUUCUCCCUCAUGAACACAAACAGCCCAGCCGUCUAAAUCUCCCGCUCGUCUUCCUCUUCAGAUUUGUGAGACUUUAAAUGUGAAGAUAUUUAUUUCUGUUCUGGAGGGCCAGUUUCUGAAUGCAGAAGGAAGAGAAGGAGCAAACGAGAGCAGGCAGCAGGCAGAAGACAGCUUAGUCAUCUUGCCCUGUAUCCCAAAGGAGCUUCGAACCCGCAAGGUGCAAGCAGGAACAGAAAAAUACUUCACGGACAGUAGUAAUCAAGCAAAAACUGAAAGAUUGGCAUAAAAAAACAAAUACUUUUUUUUUAAGUUACAGGCACAAUUUUCAGGGUGCCAGGAAGCACUUGAACAUGCCUUGGUAUCUUUAAAAGCAUUUUUCUAUUAUAGCCCAAGUGAA